UUCUAAUCACGGCUUGGACUUUCUGGUGACCAGUGCCUAUCCAGGAACCAUGAAGAGUUGCCUAAGAGCAAGAGAUGCGGCCGGGCGCGGUGGCUCACGCCUGUAAUCCCAGCACUUUGGGAGGCCAAGGUGGGCAGAUCACCUCCUGAGGUCUGAACUUCGAGACCAGCCUGACCAACGUGGAGAAACCCCGUCUCUACUAAAAAUACAAAAUUAGCUGGGCAUGGUGGUGCAUGCCUGUAAUUCCAGCUACUCAGGAGGCUGAGGCAAGAGAAUCACUUGAACCCAGGAGGUGGAGGUUGCAGUGAGCAGAGAUUGUGCCAUUGCACUCCAGCCUGGGCAACAAGAGCAAAACUCCAUCUGAAAAAAAAAGAAAAAAAAAAGAACAAGAGAUCCUCCAGUCACCCAGGACAUUUCAAGGGAUUUAGGAGAUUUGUGCCAGGAACUGGCUUCAAAAACCAAAUAUUAGAACAAAAGAUUCUCCUAAUAUCUCUAUCUACAAGGGUUUUAGGAGCCUUAUGUCAGAAAUGGCGGAUAGAUUAUAUGCAUAGUCUUAUUAUUCACAGGGUUGAAUGUAUGUUUAUAGUAGAGGAGAAAUAUCUAUGGUUGGUGGUAGAAACCAAGGUGCUUAGCGUGCUCUGAGGCAGGAAAUGCAGGCUUUAAUAGCCUAUCCUGUUCCUUUCCUGAACACCCAAGCAAUGCAUCAGGUACAGAGCAAAACACCAUCUGGGUACAAAUGGCAAGUCCCUAACUUUCCUUUCUUUUCAUGAAUAGGGUAGGUGCACCCUUGAUUAGUUAACCAUACCCACAAAUCAAGUACCUAGAUAUGCAUUCGUUUCCUCUAAGGGCCAUCUCAAAGUACAGAGCUGCUCACCUCCCUUUAGAGAAUCCAGUUUAAAGAACACGUAUUGUAAUCCUGGAGAGCGUCCUAGAAACUCACAAAUAGGUGUAACUGAACACUUCUCCCAGGACUUACUGGAUUUGACAGAUCUAAUUCAAGAUUGUAGGAAACAUCUUUUCUCUAGCGGGUUGUUGUUGAAAAUUGAAACAAUUUCUCUAGUCUCACCAUAGUUUGAAAAAAAAUCCCCCUGAGGCGGCUCGAGGAGGUUUAACUAAAUUCACUCAGAAGUCUCAAAAUAACCACUGCUGUGAGGUGCACGUGCUCGCAUGCUUCCAGUGGCUAACACUGAAUUAACAAGCUGACUCCCUGCGGAGGCUGUGGCUAGUUGGCCAUGUAAGUUGAGUCCAAGGGACUCAUCUGAGCUGUUUCCAUAAAAGACAAACAGUCUUAUAAACAAAAUAAAUGAACCACACGAUAAACAUUUCUGGCCAGAAUCUGGAGCUUGAAUUUUUCUAAACAAUCUCUCAGGAAGGUAAUUUUCAGGUGAAGACAUGAUGACAACAUAUCCCCUUAAAAGUGACAAAAACAUAUGAACUAUUGGUCACUCUAUAUGAAUCCAUCAUUAUUUUUGGCCACAUCAGUAAAGAAACUAAAAACUUCAGAGGAACAAGAUGAUCUAAAGCUGGUGAGAAUAUUAGGAGUUUAAAUGAUUUUUUCAAUGUAAGAAACUGUUGGGAAAUGUACCUGGACAAUCACACGCGUGUAGAGACUCCAGCUGCACAUAUUCAAUCUGUCAUUAGAAGGAAGCCCUUCCAGACAGCACCCUCAUCAUCAAAUGAAAAAGCACCUCCCUGGGGCCCGUUCUCCGCUCUGUCUCACUGACGGGCCUGACGAUUUCUCCACGGUAGAAGCUAGACUAAGUUCUUAUCACCUGCCUCCCCAGAAGCUACCCCAGCACCUCAAGCGGCCAGGGCAUUCUGUGUUUCCCAAUUCCAGGAUUGUGUAUGGUUCAGCACAUCCACUAGGGACUAAGCCCUUUACAACAGCACUCACUGAGGGAGGCUGUGAACUGGGUAUGGUAAGAAAAAAACCCAUGUUUUUCUGUUUGUUUUGUUCCUUGGCCUUCAGCAUUCAUUUAUUUUCUGGGAAUCACAUUCAUCUUUUCCUCUGGGAAAAGAAAUGCACCUUGACUCUCAGCCCAUGUGCACCCAAGACUGGAGACUGAAUUGCUUCAAGGAUAACCAUAUGACUAGAUCAGAGCCAGUGAAUGCAAAGAUAGGCAUUCAGGGGGACCUGGGACUCUUGUUCCUUCCUGCUGGAUGCCAGGACCUCUACCAGAAUGACAGAAAUGAAAAAGAGUGACAACACCAAAUGCUGGUGAGGAUGCAGAGGAAUGGGAUCCUUCGGACACUGCUGGUGGAAACACGAAAUGGUGUAACCACUGUGGAAAACAGUUUAGCAGGUGGUUUUAAAAAGUACAUAACAUGUCAAUUG
RNAcentral lists this long non-coding RNA (2335 nucleotides) under Homo sapiens (human). RNAcentral describes it as "long non-coding RNA NONHSAT172100". The record is from RNAcentral. Lineage: Eukaryota; Metazoa; Chordata; Mammalia; Primates; Hominidae.